Molecule: ribosomal RNA, 549 nt
Filed under: uncultured Glomeromycotina
Lineage: Eukaryota; Fungi; Glomeromycota
Description: SSU rRNA
Rfam family: Eukaryotic small subunit ribosomal RNA
Source: RNAcentral
UUGGAGGGCAAGUCUGGUGCCAGCAGCCGCGGUAAUUCCAGCUCCAAUAGCGUAUAUUAAAGUUGUUGCAGUUAAAAAGCUCGUAGUUGAAUUUCGGGGUCAGUAGGUUGGUCAUGCCACUGGUAUGUACUGGUCUCACUGAUUCCUCCUUCCUGAUGAACUGUAAUGCCAUUAAUUUGGUGUAGCAGGGAAUCUGGACUGUUACUUUGAAAAAAUUAGAGUGUUUAAAGCAGGCUAACGCCUGAAUACAUUAGCAUGGAAUAAUGAAAUAGGACGUUCGAUCCUAUUUUGUUGGUUUCUAGGAUUGACGUAAUGAUUAAUAGGGAUAGUUGGGGGCAUUAGUAUUCAAUUGUCAGAGGUGGAAUUCUUGGAUUUAUUGAAGACUAACUACUGCGAAAGCAUUUGCCAAGGAUGUUUUCAUUAAUCAAGAACGAAAGUUAGGGGAUCGAAGACGAACAGAUACCGUCGUAGUCUUAACCAUAAACUAUGCCGACUAGGGAUCGGAUGAUGUUAAUUUUUUAAUGACUCAUUCGGCGCCUUACGGGAAAC